GACGAACGCUGGCGGCGUGCCUAAUACAUGCAAGUCGAGCGGAUCUUCAUUAGCUUGCUUUUGAAGAUCAGCGGCGGACGGGUGAGUAACACGUGGGCAACCUGCCUGUAAGACUGGGAUAACUUCGGGAAACCGGAGCUAAUACCGGAUAAUCCUUUCCCUCACAUGAGGGAAAGCUGAAAGACGGUUUCGGCUGUCACUUACAGAUGGGCCCGCGGCGCAUUAGCUAGUUGGUGAGGUAACGGCUCACCAAGGCAACGAUGCGUAGCCGACCUGAGAGGGUGAUCGGCCACACUGGGACUGAGACACGGCCCAGACUCCUACGGGAGGCAGCAGUAGGGAAUCUUCCGCAAUGGACGAAAGUCUGACGGAGCAACGCCGCGUGAACGAUGAAGGCUUUCGGGUCGUAAAGUUCUGUUGUCAGGGAAGAACAAGUACCGGAGUAACUGCCGGUACCUUGACGGUACCUGACCAGAAAGCCACGGCUAACUACGUGCCAGCAGCCGCGGUAAUACGUAGGUGGCAAGCGUUGUCCGGAAUUAUUGGGCGUAAAGCGCGCGCAGGCGGUUCCUUAAGUCUGAUGUGAAAGCCCCCGGCUCAACCGGGGAGGGUCAUUGGAAACUGGGGAACUUGAGUGCAGAAGAGGAGAGCGGAAUUCCACGUGUAGCGGUGAAAUGCGUAGAGAUGUGGAGGAACACCAGUGGCGAAGGCGGCUCUCUGGUCUGUAACUGACGCUGAGGCGCGAAAGCGUGGGGAGCGAACAGGAUUAGAUACCCUGGUAGUCCACGCCGUAAACGAUGAGUGCUAAGUGUUAGAGGGUUUCCGCCCUUUAGUGCUGCAGCAAACGCAUUAAGCACUCCGCCUGGGGAGUACGGCCGCAAGGCUGAAACUCAAAGGAAUUGACGGGGGCCCGCACAAGCGGUGGAGCAUGUGGUUUAAUUCGAAGCAACGCGAAGAACCUUACCAGGUCUUGACAUCCUCUGACAACCCUAGAGAUAGGGCGUUCCCCUUCGGGGGACAGAGUGACAGGUGGUGCAUGGUUGUCGUCAGCUCGUGUCGUGAGAUGUUGGGUUAAGUCCCGCAACGAGCGCAACCCUUGAUCUU
This 1104-nucleotide ribosomal RNA is filed under the name Bacillus sp. (in: firmicutes). Its description in RNAcentral is "bacterial SSU rRNA". It matches the Rfam family "Bacterial small subunit ribosomal RNA", at positions 28 to 1112 of the family's 1533-position model. Lineage: Bacteria; Bacillati; Bacillota; Bacilli; Caryophanales; Bacillaceae. The record is from RNAcentral.